CAGUAUCGCAAAGAAGAAGAACAACAAAGAAAUCCUGAAAACACUCGUGGAUGUUUAUGUAUACAGGUCAGCAAGACGCUUAAAAUAAUGCUUCAUUUGAGCUUUGUACGGGCAUGGAAAUGUUAGUUUGGAUGGUAUGUAUGACCCCACGAACACCUUGAACAUCUAUGAUAUUGGAAGAAAGAAGAAACCAAUUGAACCAACGGACCUUGUUCCCAUGAAUAUAAUGUUUGACCUAAAGUGUGAAAGCUCGUCAGGUGAAGAGGAAGAGACGGAAGGAGGAGAGGCUAGUUUAACAGCACAAGUAUCCAGGUGUGCGAAUGUAACAUCAGCGGAUUUAGACGAAUUAGAACACAACCGAAACGAAUCUAGUACCGUAAAGCAAACAAUAUGGGCAGUGAACUGUUUUAAAGCCUGGCUCCGUGAAAAGCAGUUGACAAUCGACUUAAAAACCGCGGAGAAGUCGGAGCUCAACCCGGUGCUGCGCGAGUUUUAUGGCUCUAUUCGGACGAGCAAAGGAGAGUUGUACGGGAUCAGCAGUUACGUCGGGCUCCGGGCUGGGUUAAAUCGGUUCAUCAACGAGCCUCCCAUCAACCGUGCGUGGAAUCUGAUGCAGGACACCGAGUUCAGGUCCGCCAACAAUGUUUUUAAAGGGGUUGUUAAGCAGAUGCGACGCUCCGGUAGGGAUAUAACAGCACAUUAUCCGCCGAUUUCACCUGAAGACAAGCACAUGCUGAAACAUUCUGCUGCACUGGACCCUGGCAACCCAAAAGGCUUAUUAAAUAAGGUGUGGUAUGACAUCCAGUUACAUUUUGGACUCAGGGGUAAGGAGGGCAACCGACACCUGCAGCCAGACGCGUUUGCUUUGAACCGAGACCAAAACGGUUUCAAAUACUUCACCAUGACAUUAAACGAGGACACGAAGAACCCGCAGGAAAGGGACAAGAAAAAACGCAAGGCUAUGUUUGAAGAGCCUGGCAAUCCGCUGUGUCCUGUUGCCUCUCUGGAGAAAUAUCUCAGCAAAAUUCCAGCCGACGCAAAAGCGCUUUAUCUACAGCCCAAAAGGAUGUAUGUGAUCAGCGAUGAGAUCUGGUACACUGCGGUUCCUUUGGGAGUCAAUUACCUGUCCCAAAUGCUGCCCAAAAUUUGCAAAGAGGCCGGGACGAGAACGACCUACACCAAUCACAGUCUGAGGGUCACUUCAAUUCAAAGACUGACCGAAACGAGGGAGAUCAUGGCGGUAUGUUUGCACAGCGUUCCGGUUGAGAUUAACACUCAGUGGCAGCAGGAAUCUGCUCCGUUUUCCCCCAGCAGUGAGCUUGACUCCAGCUCAGCCAAACAGGAGAGUCCCGUGAGCAGCCACAGCUGGGUGAAACAGGAACCGGAGCCUGAAGUAGUCCAGUGGGAAAAUAUGAACUCGGAGGCCGCCACUGGUGCAGAGCAGGACAAAUCUCUGAGCAGUGCUGUUGCUGCAGCGGACCCGAACCCGAUGGAGGAUUUACCCAGCGGUGUUAGGCUGACCAUCACCAAACUUCAGUGUCUGCUGGAGAGCAAACAGGAGAGGAUUGAAGCUCUGGAGAGACAGGUGCAGGACCUACAGGAGGAUCGCAGGUUCCUCCGCUCUCAGAUCGAGAACCUCACCGGCGCUCGCUUGGUUCCGGUGCCUGAAGCGAGCACGUCAGUGUUCUCAGCGCCCAGGUCACGUAAACGGCGGCGGAAGAGCUCGUCCAGCUCGUAUGCCACUGAUGAAUCCAGCAGCUCCUCUUCAUCUGAAGAGUCCAGCAGCGUCAGGAAAAAGAGACGCCACAAGAAGAAAGGGAAGAGAGUGUAUGUUUCCCAGUGUGACUAGGUCUUGAUCUGCCUUCAUCAAGAAGAAGAGUAUGAGUUGGGCUUUUCCGUCCGUCCGUCCGGGACAAUUUUUACGAGUGAGCCUCCAUGUGCCCAGGAGUACAGUGGGCUAUACUGUAAAAGGACCUUAUUUGGGCCCUCCAUCUUCUGGCCUGGGACAGCGCUGUCCCCAUCCCGACCCUCGUGGCAGAACUGCUGCUGGUUUCUAACAGGUCUGUUCCUCUGGUGGGUCAGGCCUUGUGAGGAAACACCCUCAGCGUCUCUGCAGAGCUGUUCAGUUUGUAAUUCUACAACCCGGAAAGGACUCAAGAUUUCUGAGCCUUGAUCUAGAUAACCCUAAGAUAACCUAAGUCUUCCGGGUCGGCCUACGACAUCACAACUGAACAGCUGUUUUGUGAUGACGAAGCCCUCAGAAGAAGGAUGGAGCGGAUGAAGGCUUCUACCUAGGACUGCUGAACAAACGAGCAUUCUCCGUGUUUGGACACUAGAGGGCGCUCUGAGACUAUUGCAAAGUGAAAAUGAGAGGCUCUGGAGCCUGGAAGGAAAUAAAAGUAGUGGGUGACAUUAAAA
Rhinichthys klamathensis goyatoka is the source of this 2418-nucleotide RNA transcript. RefSeq lists it as uncharacterized. The transcript has 6 exons. NCBI's taxonomy places the organism in Eukaryota, Metazoa, Chordata, Actinopteri, Cypriniformes, Leuciscidae. The record is from RefSeq and is a predicted model, not a curated record.